Molecule: long non-coding RNA, 984 nt
Filed under: Felis catus (domestic cat)
Lineage: Eukaryota; Metazoa; Chordata; Mammalia; Carnivora; Felidae
Description: lncRNA (ENSFCAG00000050134.1)
Source: RNAcentral
CACAUGUUGAAAUUUAAAUUUAAAUUCACUAACAUCAAAUAAAUUUAAAAAUUGAAUUCCUUAGUUGCCCUACCACAUGCCAAAGUUUCACUAGCUACAUGUGUCUUCUAUCUACCAUGUUGGUCAGCACAGAGUUUCAGAACAUUUCCAUUCUCACAGAAAGCUCUAUUGGAGAGUAAUGUCUGAACAGAAGAGUCUAUGAUCAUUAUCAGUGAGAAAACAGCAAAGGCAGCUAAGAAGCAAAGUCCAGGUCUCUUCAGAAAAGAUAGGGGUGUUGAGCUUGGUGAGGGUAUAACGUCCACAUCAGUGCUUAAGACAUGGUAAGUAAGUGACAGAUGUAUUUUUGGAUGAUCUUGAAUGCCAGAGAGGACAAUUUAUGUGAAUUUGGUAUGCAGUGAGAAACAUUAAGUAUUUCUUAUCAAGGAAGUGGUAUUAUUGGAUCUGUUCUUUAGAAUAAUUAUUUGGGAGGUGGUUCAUAAAACUGAAAUAAUGAUAGUUAAUGGUGGGGAAACUGAUUAUGAGGCUAUUGAGCUUGGAAUGGAAAAGCUGUAAAGGAUGUUAGAAAUUUGAAGUAGAACCUAAUGACUUGAUAUUAUGAGGAGAAUGAGGAAGAGAAGUUUGAGUAAUCAAGAGAAGGGUGGUGGCAUGGUCAGAAAUACAGAAGUCAGGAGAAUGAUGGAAUUUGUUUCAAAGGAGAGCAAGUUCAGUUUUGAACAGCUUGAAUUUAAGGUUCUUGUGAGACAUUUAUCUGGAAAUGUCCAUGACGCACUAGGAAAUUUCCAAAUUCUUUGCUUAUUUUCACAGAAAAUAAUGGCCUGUGAAUGGCCUGUUAAGAUGAGCAAGAUUGUGAGAUCAUGGAACUCAACACAGGCAGGGGAGACAACUUCCAAAACAGCAGGAGUGGAAUCCAAAAAGUUAUCAACAUUAAGAGUUACAGAGGCAAUCACUUCUGAAGACUCCAACUUCAGAAUAACAUUAAGAUGA